Molecule: long non-coding RNA, 627 nt
Filed under: Homo sapiens (human)
Lineage: Eukaryota; Metazoa; Chordata; Mammalia; Primates; Hominidae
Description: non-protein coding lnc-MYLIP-8:1
Source: RNAcentral
AUAUUUGAGAACUGAAUAUUAGAAAAGCCGGGGAGGUGAAUUUCAGGUGGGGAGCAAGCACAAAAAACUUGAUUAGGCUGCGGAUUGCUGACCAUGAUAAGAGUUCAAGAAAGAAAUAAUUGAAAGUCCAGAAGAAUGUUCAUUGAGAGCACUAUAUGAACCCUCCCUCCCAUUGUGUGGAUUUGGUCACUGACUGGAUGUCAUGCAAAGGGUAGGAGGAGAGAAAACCUUACACAUUCCCAUUCUGCCCUGUGUGAGGUCUCAAAAGUAGUUAGUAUAAGUUAUAAAGGAAUUAUCUGCCUGUACUUUGUAUUGAUAAGCUACUUUUUAAUUUAAUUUAAUUUAAGUGAUACUUUGUUAGAAAUUGUCAAUGAACUUGAUAACAUCAAAAAAUGCAAGCUGAUAUUUUGGAUCACUAAGGCUGCAAUAUAUGCAGAAAUCUUAAAAUUUUUACUCAAAGUGAUUAUGAUUUUGUUUUGCCUAUUAGGUGAUUUUAUAUCUAAUGUUAAUACAUUCUAGAACUUUCAUAUGGGGAUAAAAUACUAAUAAUACUAAUAAUUAUUCACACACAGUAUUUCAAAAGUAAUUUUAAGUACAAUUUGAUUUUAGGUUAGUUGAUUUAUUUUU